AAAUUGAAGAGUUUGAUCAUGGCUCAGAUUGAACGCUGGCGGCAGGCCUAACACAUGCAAGUCGAACGGUAACAGGAAUCAGCUUGCUGAUUCGCUGACGAGUGGCGGACGGGUGAGUAAUGUCUGGGAAACUGCCUGAUGGAGGGGGAUAACUACUGGAAACGGUAGCUAAUACCGCAUAAUGUCGCAAGACCAAAGAGGGGGACCUUCGGGCCUCUUGCCAUCGGAUGUGCCCAGAUGGGAUUAGCUAGUAGGUGGGGUAACGGCUCACCUAGGCGACGAUCCCUAGCUGGUCUGAGAGGAUGACCAGCCACACUGGAACUGAGACACGGUCCAGACUCCUACGGGAGGCAGCAGUGGGGAAUAUUGCACAAUGGGCGCAAGCCUGAUGCAGCCAUGCCGCGUGUAUGAAGAAGGCCUUCGGGUUGUAAAGUACUUUCAGCGGGGAGGAAGGGAGUAAAGUUAAUACCUUUGCUCAUUGACGUUACCCGCAGAAGAAGCACCGGCUAACUCCGUGCCAGCAGCCGCGGUAAUACGGAGGGUGCAAGCGUUAAUCGGAAUUACUGGGCGUAAAGCGCACGCAGGCGGUUUGUUAAGUCAGAUGUGAAAUCCCCGGGCUCAACCUGGGAACUGCAUCUGAUACUGGCAAGCUUGAGUCUCGUAGAGGGGGGUAGAAUUCCAGGUGUAGCGGUGAAAUGCGUAGAGAUCUGGAGGAAUACCGGUGGCGAAGGCGGCCCCCUGGACGAAGACUGACGCUCAGGUGCGAAAGCGUGGGGAGCAAACAGGAUUAGAUACCCUGGUAGUCCACGCCGUAAACGAUGUCGACUUGGAGGUUGUGCCCUUGAGGCGUGGCUUCCGGAGCUAACGCGUUAAGUCGACCGCCUGGGGAGUACGGCCGCAAGGUUAAAACUCAAAUGAAUUGACGGGGGCCCGCACAAGCGGUGGAGCAUGUGGUUUAAUUCGAUGCAACGCGAAGAACCUUACCUGGUCUUGACAUCCACGGAAGUUUUCAGAGAUGAGAAUGUGCCUUCGGGAACCGUGAGACAGGUGCUGCAUGGCUGUCGUCAGCUCGUGUUGUGAAAUGUUGGGUUAAGUCCCGCAACGAGCGCAACCCUUAUCCUUUGUUGCCAGCGGUCCGGCCGGGAACUCAAAGGAGACUGCCAGUGAUAAACUGGAGGAAGGUGGGGAUGACGUCAAGUCAUCAUGGCCCUUACGACCAGGGCUACACACGUGCUACAAUGGCGCAUACAAAGAGAAGCGACCUCGCGAGAGUAAGCGGACCUCAUAAAGUGCGUCGUAGUCCGGAUUGGAGUCUGCAACUCGACUCCAUGAAGUCGGAAUCGCUAGUAAUCGUGGAUCAGAAUGCCACGGUGAAUACGUUCCCGGGCCUUGUACACACCGCCCGUCACACCAUGGGAGUGGGUUGCAAAAGAAGUAGGUAGCUUAACCUUCGGGAGGGCGCUUACCACUUUGUGAUUCAUGACUGGGGUGAAGUCGUAACAAGGUAACCGUAGGGGAACCUGCGGUUGGAUCACCUCCUUA
RNAcentral lists this ribosomal RNA (1542 nucleotides) under Escherichia fergusonii. RNAcentral's name for it is "bacterial SSU rRNA". It matches the Rfam family "Bacterial small subunit ribosomal RNA". The record is from RNAcentral. Lineage: Bacteria; Pseudomonadati; Pseudomonadota; Gammaproteobacteria; Enterobacterales; Enterobacteriaceae.